ACGGGUGAGUAACACGUGGGUAACCUACCUAUAAGACUGGGAUAACUUCGGGAAACCGGAGCUAAUACCGGAUAAUAUUUCGAACCGCAUGGUUCGAUAGUGAAAGGNGGUUUUGCUAUCACUUAUAGAUGGACCCGCGCCGUAUUAGCUAGUUGGUAAGGUAACGGCUUACCAAGGCGACGAUACGUAGCCGACCUGAGAGGGUGAUCGGCCACACUGGAACUGAGACACGGUCCAGACUCCUACGGGAGGCAGCAGGG
RNAcentral lists this ribosomal RNA (260 nucleotides) under uncultured Staphylococcus sp. Its description in RNAcentral is "partial 16S ribosomal RNA". It matches the Rfam family "Bacterial small subunit ribosomal RNA", at positions 102 to 354 of the family's 1533-position model. The record is from RNAcentral. Lineage: Bacteria; Bacillati; Bacillota; Bacilli; Caryophanales; Staphylococcaceae.